UUGGUGACUCAGCUAAGGCAUGAGCGAAUCUGUUCUGCUAGCUGCUCACUCUGUUUUUGCUCUCUCUAACGUAUCUGGAUAUCUGUGGUGCACCUGGUUGGGGGUGCUGUGUGACUGGGGCAUUCAGCUAUGUGUGGGCAGGAAAAGGGUUUCACUCAGUGUGAUGAAACUGGCCAAUUUCUGAUGGAUGGGGUCUGUCUGUUGUUCUUUGUGUUCAGAGGGUUUGGGUUCUGAAGAGGACCAGGAGUGAGUGAAUGAUUUCGUUGGAUGAGACGGAUGUGUCAUGAGACCGAGAAUUGACAGAAGACCACAUGGUGGUGGCCGUGGCUGUGUGCUGACCGACCAGCAGGAGUGGGCCGUGGUGGAAAUGGUGAGGGCCAGGAAUGUCCGAAAUAAAGCAUGCCAUUGAGGAGAACGAUGACACCGUUGUAAAUGUGGUAUCCAUCAGCCGACCAACAAUCUCCCGCCUUCUGAAGAGGCAUCAGAUAUCUAUGAAACACAUUUUCCUGGUGCCUUUUGAGAGAAACAAUGACCACGUGAAACAACUGCGGGCCGAGUAUGUUCCGGUACAGCACUAUAUACUGUAUUACUGUUACUAUUUGAUGCACAUGCUACUUCACAAUAUCAUAUUGGAACUGUACUGUAAAAAUAACUAACCAAAUUAUAUUUUUAGAGGGUGAUGGUGCUUUAUGUUGCUGUGAACCAUCACACGUAUAUCUUUGUUGAUGAAGCAGGCUUCAACCUGGCGAAAACUCAGCGCCAUGGGCGGAACCUCAUUGGCCAACGGGUGACCGUCCAAGUGCCAGGUGGGGGAAACAUCUCCAUGUGUGCAGCUAUCUCUGAAGACGGUGUGGUAGGACGUAGGCCAUUACUUGGAUCCUACAACGCUGCACACCUCAUUGUGUAAAUUGAGCAGGCCUGUCAAGGUGAAGGGGUCACCUAUUUCAUUGCGUUGGACAAUGUUAGGUUUCACCAUGCAGAGGUGGUUCAGUCAUGGUAUGGGCCCAUCCCUGAUUCGUAACUCUAUAUCUGCCCCCAUACUCUCCUUUCCUCAACCCUAUUGAGGAUUAAUUUUCAGCAUGGAGGUGGAAGGUGUACGAUCACCAUCCCCAUGAGCGUGCCACCCUCCUUCUGGCAAAAGUUUUUUCCUGCGGUGCAUGAACAAUGAGGACAUUCACUGUGAUGUGGAUGAGAAUUUAUGGCCAAAUGCUCAAGACAGGAUUGAUGCAAAUUAAUGUGUGCUAAAUGUUAGGUUUUAUUUUCAUUCAUUUAAUUUGUUUCAUUUAAUUUCUUACAUUUGAUUACAGACAGUAAACCUAUGUUGCAAUUAUAUCUGAAAUAAAUAAAUACAACAUUUGCAUGAA
This is a long non-coding RNA of Salvelinus namaycush (lake trout), 1364 nucleotides long. RefSeq lists it as uncharacterized. The transcript is spliced from 3 exons. The record is from RefSeq and is a predicted model, not a curated record. NCBI's taxonomy places the organism in Eukaryota, Metazoa, Chordata, Actinopteri, Salmoniformes, Salmonidae.